AUGACCUUCCCGUCUCUGUGCUACUUGGGUCGAUUCAGUCCCUUUGAGUCCCGCCCUCCUCCAUUUGAAAAACGGAAAGAGCAAGAAGAAAAUAAAACAAGGGAGAAGACAAAAGCUGAAAGCAGCAUUCAGAACAAAUGUGAAACCCCGCUGAGUUGUAAUCCUUCACCUUGGCGACCUCGCAGGAAGGACCUGUCCUACUGCGAGUGCUGUCAUCAACACUUCAAUAAUCUUGAGGAGCAUUUACAGUCUGAUCAGCACCGUUCAUUUGUACUGGAUUCGUCAAACUACAGUGCGGUGGAUCAGCUUGUAAUUGCAAUGUUUCCAGAAUUUGAUCCCAAUCCAUGUCAACAAUCAGAACAAACAUCCAGCAGACCACCAACACCUUUGCCCGUUGAGGAUUUCUGUGAUCUGGAGCCUCUCUCUGAUAUUGGGAUGGAGGAUGGAGUCUGGGCCCUGCAGCCAGAGGGUGCAGCACAGAUCCCUAGCCCUUGUAGGGUCCCUCCUUCCUUUUGCUCCGCCGGUCCAUCAGCGGACGAUCAGCUUCCUAACCCAAAUCCAGCCGCUCUGCCUGCAGACAUACAGUCUUUCACUUCUGCUGGGAUCCAGCCUCACACUUUCAGCCCUGUCAUGCCUGUAUUGGAUACUGAACCACAACCUCACCCCUCAGCCUGCCAGCCGCCUGAUAAUCUCUCUCCGUACCCUAUGAAUCCGUGUGUCUCCUCUGACCCUUAUCUUCUUGCUCCAGUCCUCAGUCCGCAGUUACUUAAUUAUUCCGACUUAAUAGAGGUACACGGCUCCUAUUCAGACCCCCCUGUACUUAGUCCUCAACAGUAUGCAGUUGUGGAAGAAGACACUUGUGAAUCUGUUCCUCCUCCCUCGGAGCCUGUAACAAAUGCAGACGGAGCGAAGGUGUCAAACCUGGAAAGUCCUUUAGUUUUUAGGAGGAUCACGUGUUCCAGCAGAGCUCUGGAGUGCGAUAAACUGGCUUCAUGCAGGUCUCGAUCGCUUCCUCGGCCUUCGUCUACAGCGCUCAACCCCAAGAAGCGCUGCCGUUCGUCCAGUCCCAUAAUCAGCCGGAGCAAAAGGAGGCGGAUCACUGUGAGCUUUGGUUACAGCUGUACAUGGACCGAACAAGAGCUUACGUCAGCUCAACCAGACAGUGACCUAUUGGCCAGACCUGAGGCCUCUUAUGAGCUACAGUCUUGUUCAAACUCCCACGUCUCAUCCAUGUCCAUUACAUCCACCGUGGACUGUGGCUCAAAACAGACUUUUGACACGUUUUGCGUUCCUGCUGUACAGAAUUUCACCGCUCUACCACAUCAGAUUAACAUUUUGUGUCACGGUCGCGCUUCUGUUGCAGAUCAGCCAUCGUGGCCGUUUUUCUCACCAGCUAAGAGUUUUGAUUGUCCCCUUCCCAGUAAGAACUCUCUCAGCGGUCCUUCCAGUCAAGACUCUCAGCGUUCGCUCUCCCACUCUACCUCCGUGUGCAUUGAGUCCGCCCUCAUCCCAGACUUCGCCGCCCUCUCCCAGUCCUCGGACUCUGACUGGGACUGUGAGCUGGUGUCGCGUAUGGGCCCGGCCUCCGCGGCGCCCCUGUCACCCACUGAGCAGAGCGCUGAGCUGGACAAGGAGCUCCUCCACAGGCGCUGCGCCUGGACGCACAACAGCAGCUACGAGUCACGUCUGCACACGGUUCUCCAGCCGCCCGCUCCAGGAGCUUCUCUGUGCGGGGAGGAUGUGGAGCCUUCAGCCUUUUCCAGGACUGUUGUACAGACCGUCAAGGUUCAACACUGAAUCUGAAUCCUUUUUCUUUUUUUUCUUUUUUUGGGGAUUGUUGCAAAGAACUGCAGAAAGGACAACAUGGAUGCUGCACAUUUUACUUCAUGAAACAGAAGGUGGCACUUAAGCUCAUGAAAUGAAGUAAUUGUAUUAUACAUUAAAUAAAUAUUUACAACAUAGUAAAACCUUAAACUUU
Long non-coding RNA from Betta splendens (Siamese fighting fish), 1978 nucleotides. Lineage: Eukaryota; Metazoa; Chordata; Actinopteri; Anabantiformes; Osphronemidae. The record is from Ensembl.